This is an RNA transcript of Arachis stenosperma, 3521 nucleotides long. RefSeq lists it as uncharacterized. The record is from RefSeq and is a predicted model, not a curated record. Lineage: Eukaryota; Viridiplantae; Streptophyta; Magnoliopsida; Fabales; Fabaceae. The transcript is spliced from 3 exons.
GUUGAUAAAUGAUCUUAAAUAUUUUAAGAGAGUAUAUUUGAUUUUAAAAGUACUCUUCCUUCCAAUUUUAUCAAAAUAUCUAUUCAUAUCUAUCCAUAUUCUUUUAUAAAAUCUUAAUUUUAAUCUUAAUAUCACAAAUUCCUAUUUCAUAUACUAAAUCCCUAAAUCUACAAUCAGAAAGGGAAAGAAAGGGAACGGGGAGCUCGAGGGGGAAAACAGAAAGGGAAAAGAAAGGAAGGGGAAAGAGGGAAGGCAGGGGAAAAACGGAGGUGAAGAGAGGGAGGAGGAAGGUGCGACGCGGCCAAGACCUCACUGCUGCCGCUGUUGUGCUGCACGUGAGAGUGAGAGAGAGACACACACAGGACGAGCGUCGCGAGAAUCAAGGGAGGGAGACACGGUUCCGUCCUGUUGCCGUUGUGGGUUGCGCCUGAUCACCAUCGCAGAAGCUCCAUCGUCGCUGUUGCACAUAAGAGGAGAUGAUUUCGCUGAUUUUGAUUCUGUCUAAGCCCGCAUCGUUGCUGGAAUCGCGAACCGGGGAGGAGAGGGAGGCUGCUUCCAUCGUCAUUUCAGGUGUCAGAAAAGACCGUCGCCAUUGAAGGAUCCACCGCCGCCGAAUCCCAGCCAUCAUCGCCACCGGAGUCACCGUGGUUGCCGCUGGAGAAGUGCUAUGAAUGCCGCUGCUGAUGUUAGCACGCAAGGGGGGAAGAGCCCGUCCUUGCCGAUUCUGCCGCCGUCAAAGGGAAAAGGAAGUGAGAGCACCGGUACGGAACGCGAGAAAGGAAUCGUCGCCAAAACCGGAACAGAUUCACCGGUAAUUCCGCUUCUUCCUUUCUUGAUUCUGUCCCGUUUUUAUUUUGUUCCGCUGUUCCGAUUCCGUUGGUGUCCCUACUAUCCUAACUGAUCGAAUUGAUGCUGCUGCCCGCUAGGACGGACACCCUGGUCUCUGGUUCCUGUUAUUCUGAGUACCAAAGCUAUUGCUCCAUUCCCGUCUUUCCUUGGUACGAUUGGUUCUGUUCUACAAACAUUUUUCUGGUUAUUACUCCUUUGAUAAUCUGUUCUGUUUUGCCCUUGCAUUUGCUACAGCCAUUAUUAAUUUUCCCCCCCAAAGUUGCUGUUGCUGCUAUUAGAGUUGUGGUUGAUGCUGUUAUCCUCGCGUUAGAACAUGGAGGGUUGCUGCAUUUCCGAUUUUGUGUGGUUAAUGCGACAUCGAGCUGUAUGACAGGUAGAAGAUGAGAGACUUCAUCAUCUUUUGAUAGUGAACCUGAGAGAACCUUCCUUAGAUUGAGGAGGGAGGCUAGAGGCAAGGGUAUAGUUGGAGAAGAACCAGUAGAAGAAGAUCUAACAACCACCAUGGAAGACGAAGUACACGAAGAUGUUGGAGGAGGAGCUGGAAAUCAAGCUUGGCAAGAGAGGAGAGUCUUAGGCUCCUAUAUCAACCCAAAUCCAGGAAACUGUGGCAACAGCAUCCUCAAAUCAACAAUCCAUGCCAACAACUUUGAGUUGAAACCUCAACUCAUCACACUAGUCCAAAAUAACUUCUCAUAUGGAGGAGGUGCUCAAGAAGAUCCAAAUCAACAUCUCAACACAUUCUUGAGGAUAUGUGAUGAGCAGAUAAUUUAUACGCUUUUUGGCAUUAUUUUUAGGUAUUUUCUGGCUGAAAUUGAGAGACCUGAGCACAAAUCUGAUUCAGAGGCUGAAAAAGGACUGCAGAUACUGUUGGAUUCUGACCUCCCUGCACUCGAAGUAGAUUUUUAGGAGUUACAGAACUCCAAAUGGUGCGCCAUUAAUUUCGUUGGAAAGUAGACAUCCAUAACUUUCCAGCAAUAUAUAAUAGUCUAUACUUUGCUCGAGUUUUGACGACGCAAACUGGCGUUCAAAUGCCCCUUCUCUGCCCUACUCUGAAGUUAAACGCCAGAAACACGUUACAAACCAGAGUUAAACGCCCAAACUGGCAUAAAAGCUGGCGUUUAACUCCAAGAGAAGCCUCUACACGUGUAAAGCUCAAUACUCAGCCCAAGCACACACCAAGUGUGCCCCGGAAGUGGAUUUCUACAUCAUUUAUUCAAUUCUGUAAACCCUAGUGGCUAGUUUCAUUAUAAAUAGGACUUUUUUUAGGCUUUUUGGAAUAUCUUUGGACCAUUGUUCAUGUUUUGGGAGGCUGGCCAUUCGGCCAUGCCUACCCUAUUUUCACUUAUGUAUUUUUAACGGUGGAGUUUCUACACACCAUAGAUUAAGGUGUGGAGCUCUGCUGUUCCUCGAGUAUUAAUGCAAAGUACUACUGUUUUCUAUUCAAUUCAUGCUUAUUCUUAUUCUAAGAUAUCAUUUCGCACACAAGAACAUGAUGAAUGUGAUGAUUAUGUGACACUCAUCACCAUUCUCACUUAUGAACGCGUGAUUGACAACCACUUCCGUUCUACAUGAAGACAAGCUUGAAUGUAUAUCUCUUGGGCUUCUAAUCAACGAUUCACAUCGACUCCCCUCUGACAAUGGGGCAUCUGAAUCCGAGAUUAGAGUCUUCGUGGUAUAGGCUAGAAUCCAUUGGCAGCAUUCUUGAGAUCCGAAAAGUAUAAACCUUGUUUGUGGUAUUCCGAGUAGGAUCUGGGUUGGGAUGACUGUGACGAGCUUCAAACUCGCGACUGUAGGGCGUGGUGAUAGACGCAAAAGGAUAGUAAAUCCUAUUCCUACAUGAUUGAGAACCAACAACUGAUUAGCCAUACGAUAUAUGUGCAUGGUAUUUUUUAUCCGAGCCGAGCAAUCCGACAGUUGAUUAGCCAUACAGAAACCGUAGAGGACCAUUUUCACUAAGAGGACAGGAAGUAACCAUUGACAACAGUGACACCCAACAUACAGCUUGCCAUGGAAAUGAGUAUGAAGGAUUGGAUAAAGGCAGUAGGAUUGCAGAGAUUCAGAAGGAAUAACGCAUCUUCAUACGCUUAUCUGAAAUUCCCACCAAUGAAUUACAUAAGUAUCUCUAUCUUUAUUUUAUGUUUAUUUAUCUUUUAAAUUAUUAAAACUCUAUAACCAUUUGAAUCCGUCUGACUGAGAAGUUGUGAAAAAGAGUUAAGAUUACAAUUGUGCGUACCAAGUUGUUAGCGCCAUUGAGAUCACAAUUUCGUGCACCAAUAUGCUAUACUGUAAAGUCCAAUGGUGUACACCCUAACACCUACAAACUACUUCUGUUCCCUUUCUCACUCAGAGAUAAGGCAACAAAGUGGUUAGAAUUAUUUUCCAAGGAGAGCCUAACCACAUGGGAGGAUGUUGUGAACAAGUUUUUAGCGAGAUAUUACCCUCCACAAAGGAUCAACAGGCUAAGAGAUGCAGUGCAAACCUUCAGACAGCUAGAUGGUGAAACACUCUAUGAGGCCUGAGAGAGGUUCAAAGAUCUAACAAGGAAAUGUCGACCGGAUAUGUUUAAUGAGUGGGUACAGCUCCAUAUUUUCUAUGAAGGAUUAACCUAUGAAUCAAAGAAGGCUGUGGACCACUCUUCAGGGGGUUCACUCAACAAGAAGAAGACCAUUGAG